RNAcentral lists this ribosomal RNA (412 nucleotides) under uncultured bacterium. RNAcentral's name for it is "bacterial SSU rRNA". It matches the Rfam family "Bacterial small subunit ribosomal RNA", at positions 8 to 422 of the family's 1533-position model. The record is from RNAcentral.
AGAGUUUGAUCCUGGCUCAGAUUGAACGCUGGCGGAAUGCUUUACACAUGCAAGUCGAGCGGCAGCGCGGGGGCAACCCUGGCGGCGAGCGGCGAACGGGUGAGUAACACAUCGGAACGUACCUAGUAAUGGGGGAUAACUAACCGAAAGGUUGGCUAAUACCGCAUACGCCCUGAGGGGGAAAGCGGGGGAUCGUAAGACCUCGCGUUAUUGGAGCGGCCGAUGUCAGAUUAGCUAGUUGGUGAGGUAAAGGCUCACCAAGGCGACGAUCUGUAGCGGGUCUGAGAGGACGGCCCGCCACACUGGAACUGAGACACGGUCCAGACUCCUACGGGAGGCAGCAGUGGGGAAUUUUGGACAAUGGGGGCAACCCUGAUCCAGCCAUUCCGCGUGAGUGAAGAAGGCCUUCGGG